Molecule: microRNA, 21 nt
Filed under: Drosophila melanogaster (fruit fly)
Lineage: Eukaryota; Metazoa; Arthropoda; Insecta; Diptera; Drosophilidae
Description: dme-miR-4960-3p
Source: miRBase by way of RNAcentral
CUGGGACCUUGGGCUUACGGU